RNAcentral lists this ribosomal RNA (492 nucleotides) under uncultured bacterium. RNAcentral's name for it is "partial 16S ribosomal RNA". It matches the Rfam family "Bacterial small subunit ribosomal RNA", at positions 29 to 507 of the family's 1533-position model. The record is from RNAcentral.
AGUGAACGCUGGCGGUAGGCCUAACACAUGCAAGUCGAACGGCAGCACAGUAAGAGCUUGCUCUUACGGGUGGCGAGUGGCGGACGGGUGAGGAAUACAUCGGAAUCUACUUUUUCGUGGGGGAUAACGUAGGGAAACUUACGCUAAUACCGCAUACGACCUACGGGUGAAAGCAGGGGAUCUUCGGACCUUGCGCGAUUGAAUGAGCCGAUGUCGGAUUAGCUAGUUGGCGGGGUAAAGGCCCACCAAGGCGACGAUCCGUAGCUGGUCUGAGAGGAUGAUCAGCCACACUGGAACUGAGACACGGUCCAGACUCCUACGGGAGGCAGCAGUGGGGAAUAUUAGACAAUGGGCGCAAGCCUGAUCCAGCCAUACCGCGUGGGUGAAGAAGGCCUUCGGGUUGUAAAGCCCUUUUGUUGGGAAAGAAAAGCAGCAGGUUAAUACCCAGCUGUUCUGACGGUACCCAAAGAAUAAGCACCGGCUAACUUCGUG